RNA transcript from Ziziphus jujuba (common jujube), 2247 nucleotides. It is a transcript of the gene named putative zinc finger protein CONSTANS-LIKE 11, with no coding region annotated. The transcript has 8 exons. NCBI's taxonomy places the organism in Eukaryota, Viridiplantae, Streptophyta, Magnoliopsida, Rosales, Rhamnaceae. The record is from RefSeq and is a predicted model, not a curated record.
AUCCACGUCACGGUGCUAUCACUUUCCAAAGCCCAAAUCUUGCCACGUGGCGAACACCCAGAAAUCCAAGGAACAACGUGAAUAAAUAAACAGUUUUUGCACAAGUAAGCUGAUUAAUACUGUCACACAACAAAGCCAACAUUGCUGUUCUCAAAGCUUGCUUAGCUAACCCUCUUCUCUACCCUCAUACCCACUUCCAUAUUUGAUCAAAAAUUUCUUGCCUCAACAAUUUUUUCAUUUUUUUGGACCCCCAUUCAUGGAUCUUGAAUUGCCUGAUAUUGGCUGAUUGUGUUUCAGCUAAUGUUUUGGCGGGGAUUCGGCGUAGAUUCAUUGAAUUAGGAGGAUCAUUGGCUUGAACUUUGAUGAUUAAAACCCAUUAGCCGAAUUCCCGCCAUAAGCUUUGGAUUAAUUAGUUAAUUCGCAUUGUGAGGAGGAAUAAUUUUCUAGACGUUCAUUAGGUUUAUUUUUUUCUAAGAGGAGUGGUAUUUUUUAUGGAGCCUCUGUGUGAGUUUUGUGGGGUGGUGAGGGCAGUAGUUUACUGUAAGUCGGAUUCGGCCCGGCUUUGCUUGCACUGUGAUGGUUGGGUACACUCUGCCAAUACUUUAUCAAGAAGGCAUACUCGGUCACUCUUAUGUGACAAAUGCAAUGCCGAGCCUGCGAUUAUUAGAUGUAUGGAUGACAAAAUAUCUCUGUGUCAAAGUUGUGACUGGAAUGCUAAUGGCUGUAUGAGCAUGGGGCACCAGCGCCAAACCUUGAAUUGUUAUACGGGUUGUCCUUCGUUGGCUGAUUUUUCGAGGAUUUGGUCUUCGGUUCUUGAAGCGCCUUCUUUGAGUGGUUUUGAUAGUGGUUGGGGUUCACUUGGUUCAUUGCCUACGGACGGACAUUGCGACACUAGCAAUGUGGAACCUAGAAACGAUGACGUAGGGGCAUUGGGGAUGGUUACUUCCAAGUUACAUGAACCGGAACCUUGCAUGAAGUUUGACACUUGGCCAGGACCGUCUUCUGUGACUCCACCAAAUCAAAAUUACAUGCUUUACUGUCGAGAUCAAGCACCUUUCUUUGCUGAGGAGUCGAACCACCCACCUAAGGAUCUUGGAAUCCAUGAUGGUGAAGAUCUAUGUGAAGCUUUCAACAUGGAUGAUGUUCCAUUGAACUUCGAAAAUGAUGAUGAGAUAUUAAGCAAUUCACAAGGCCUUCCCAGAUGCCAGUUUGAGGAUGGAGGAAUGGAUUGCCUGUUAAUGGAGAAAAACCUAUCCGUUACUGAGUCUAAUGGUCCUAUUGAAAAUGCUAUAGAGGCAUCAUCAUCAGUAAAGAAGGAAUGUGUGACGUUUCAAUCCUCUUGUGUUGGUGGGUCAUCUAGUUUGAUGCAUGCCAUGAAUGGUGGUUCAAAUUGCUUACUUGUAAAUCCAACUGGUAGCCGAAACAUCAAUCUGGGAUUUCCUGCUGGGCAAGUUCAUUCAACCAUGUCGCUUUCACUAUCCAACAUCACAGGUGAAAGUAGUGCUGCUGAUUAUCAAGACUGUGGAUUGUCACCAUCAUUUCUAACAGGAGAAUCUUGGGAGUCAACAUUGGAGGGUAGCUGUCCACAGGCUAGAGAUAAAGCUAAGAUGAGAUACAAUGAAAAAAAGAAAACUCGAACGUUUGGUAAACAAAUAAGAUAUGCCUCUCGCAAAGCCAGAGCUGACACUAGGAAACGUGUAAAAGGUUCUAAUAAUUAUUCUACAUUUAAGAGAGGGAUUGCAUGUGGUUGGUUUGUCUUUCAUCCUCCUAUAGAUCUUCAGUCCUGCUAGCAACUUCGGGGUAUUUUGACGACACUGGUGGAACCAUAUGAUUUUUUGACCUGUGUCAGUGUGUCCUGCCUCCGCUAGCAUUAUAUGAAAAGAGUUUUCUUUGUUCACUUAGAAGUUUACUUUCUGUUGAACAUCAGCAGCUACAAUUGGUGAAGAACGUAUAUGACAUCCUAGUGAUCAUGUUGUUUCCUUCACUUAAUUUGGGCCCUUCUAUUGCUUUUGCAGUCACCUUCCCCAUCCUUCACUUUACAUUGACCGUUCUAUUGCUUUUGCAGUCACCUUCCCCAUCCUUCCACAAGGGAAAGUCCUUAUUGCAAGAAAAGUUUGGUUAAGUGCUUUAUGUGAUUAACCUGUUUCUAUUCCAUGUAAAAAGCCUUGACUGGAUUUUGUUUUCAGAUAUGAACAUCAUUUAAAAUUCUAUUUGAGAGAAUAAUAUGUGCUCGAAAUACUUUGUUAU